This 75-nucleotide transfer RNA is filed under the name Symphyotrichum subulatum. Its description in RNAcentral is "tRNA-Asp". It matches the Rfam family "tRNA". Rfam says of the family: Transfer RNA (tRNA) molecules are approximately 80 nucleotides in length. Their secondary structure includes four short double-helical elements and three loops (D, anti-codon, and T loops). The record is from RNAcentral. Lineage: Eukaryota; Viridiplantae; Streptophyta; Magnoliopsida; Asterales; Asteraceae.
GGGAUUGUAGUUCAAUAGGCUAGAGCACCGCCCUGUCAAGGCGGACGUUGCGGGUUCGAGCCCCGUCAGUCCCGA